RNAcentral lists this ribosomal RNA (225 nucleotides) under Staphylococcus aureus. Its description in RNAcentral is "partial 23S ribosomal RNA". It matches the Rfam family "Bacterial large subunit ribosomal RNA", at positions 407 to 634 of the family's 2925-position model. Lineage: Bacteria; Bacillati; Bacillota; Bacilli; Caryophanales; Staphylococcaceae. The record is from RNAcentral.
CCUGAGUACGACGGAGCACGUGAAAUUCCGUCGGAAUCUGGGAGGACCAUCUCCUAAGGCUAAAUACUCUCUAGUGACCGAUAGUGAACCAGUACCGGGAGGGAAAGGUGAAAAGCACCCCGGAAGGGGAGUGAAAUAGAACCUGAAACCGUGUGCUUACAAGUAGUCAGAGCCCGUUAAUGGGUGAUGGCGUGCCUUUUGUAGAAUGAACCGGCGAGUUACGAU